UACGUAGGGUGCGAGCGUUAUCCGGAAUUAUUGGGCGUAAAGAGCUCGUAGGCGGUUUGUCACGUCUGCUGUGAAAGCUGAAGGCUUAACCUUUCAGUGUGCAGUGGGUACGGGCAGGCUGGAGUGCAGUAGGGGAGACUGGAAUUCCUGGUGUAGCGGUGAAAUGCGCAGAUAUCAGGAGGAACACCGAUGGCGAAGGCAGGUCUCUGGGCUGUUACUGACGCUGAGGAGCGAAAGCAUGGGGAGCGAACA
Molecule: ribosomal RNA, 252 nt
Filed under: uncultured prokaryote
Description: partial 16S ribosomal RNA
Rfam family: Bacterial small subunit ribosomal RNA
Source: RNAcentral